Small nucleolar RNA from Vombatus ursinus (common wombat), 104 nucleotides. Ensembl annotates it as small nucleolar RNA, C/D box 13. Its record names the gene SNORD13. Lineage: Eukaryota; Metazoa; Chordata; Mammalia; Diprotodontia; Vombatidae. The record is from Ensembl.
AUCCUUCUGGUUCAUAAAUGUGAUGAGUGGGUUUUUGCACGCGAUUGCGUGAGAUGUGCCGUCCUGUUUUUCUUGUUACGCAUAGGUACAUAACCCAUCUGAUU